GGGAAUGUCUCGUUACGAUGUCAAAUAUGUUUUCUUUAUAAUUUUACUUUCCCUGUCCAGAAAAAAAUUUAAAAAAAUUGUUUAUAGCACAUCAGAACCAGGUAAAGGUUUUACGGAGAGGUUUAAUUUAAAAUAAAAUAAAAAUACGAGGUCCUGAAUAGUUUCCUUUGCUUCCUCCUAAGCCUCCGAGGCUUCACUCCCUAAGUCCCAGGCGGCCAAGACUAGUUUGCAAUCACCGGCGGUCGAUCUCCAACAAUGUUAAAUCACCGGCAGAUGAAGUUGAGGCACCCUAUAAAGCGUCAGUAAACAGACGGAUCUUGAAUCCAAAAUGUUUGAAAACGGGGCCAAGAGAACCUGGUGGUGCUGUUGAUCUCAUAACUUAUUACAAGCUUUGGUCUCAUAAUGUUGUUGGAGACACUGACGUCCAAAAAGGGGAAGGCAUGGAGUUGGAUCAGCUUCUUCAAAAUGCUUCCCAUUUGAGAGAAAGAAAUGCAUGUAUAUACCCUUUUGAUUUGGAUCUACUAAGGGAUGCUUUUCAUAUGAGGGAGACAACUCCUGUUAACCAGCCUUUCAAACGAUGUUGUAAUUUCUGUAUACGUAGACAGACAGAGAAAGGCAUCCCCACUGCGACAGCAAAGUUAAAAAGUGACUUUAAAGACAGAGAGAAGGGGCAUAGAAAACACAAAGACCAGCACAGUGACAAGGAUAGUAAGAAGAAGAUACACUGUCACACUGUCACAAGGGUAAGAGCAGUGUUAAGGGUAAGAAUAUAAAUGCUGUUCAUGGAUUUAGUCUCGAGGACUUGGAGAAACAGCAGGAGAUGGUUUGCACACCCAUCUUUUCUUGUUGCCCUCUGUUGAUUGCACGUCCUAAAUUUUGUUGCCUUUUGUUGAUUGCAUGAUUACUGUUUUUCUCUUUUCUUUUUUCCUUUUUUAUGAAAGCGUUGUUAAUAUGCUAACAACUUGCAGGACGGCUAUUAACUGGGAUGUCCAUUUGAGUGUUGUAUUCUUUCUUCCAUGGUUAUUUUUGUUUUUUUGAGGGAGGUGAGUGUCGGGAUACCCACUACAGAAUUAGGUGAAAGUAAAUUUUGGUCAUUUUCUGUGGCAUUUGUAUUGAUAUCAAGUCCUGUGGCCAUUUUUCCAAGUUUUUCACCACCUGACGUCCAGAACUCUGUGAGGGCGCCCACAUUCAUAAUGUAAAUUCAUGUUUGCUAAGACCACUCACGUCUUGGUAUUACAUUUUGAGGUACAAGAUCUGCUGGUUGAUUUCAAUGUGAGUCAGGGAACAGUGCAAAAUUGACUGUUUGACUCUCUUCUCUUAGUGCAAAGUACUGUCAAAAAAGGUGGAGGGUGGGGGGUGUGCAAGUGUAGGUGAAAUCCUGAUCAGUUUAUUCAUGUUGAGAUAUUGGUAAAUCCUGUAUGUAACAGGAUUUCUUUCUUGCAAACUAAUCUUUCUACCAGAAGGGCUCUGUUUUGAGUUGAUAUGGAUCUGUAAGAUUUAUGUUCAAAUUUCUGUUUUCAAUAUUGAGUGCUCAGAUUUUUUUGGAUCAUGGGUGACUGCUCAAAUUUGGAGUGGUACUCUAUGAAUUCUCUCUUGUUACCAGAAACUAUCUUUUAAAGGGAAGUGAGUUUCUCAUA
Molecule: RNA transcript, 1637 nt
Organism: Ziziphus jujuba (common jujube)
Lineage: Eukaryota; Viridiplantae; Streptophyta; Magnoliopsida; Rosales; Rhamnaceae
Gene name: mediator of RNA polymerase II transcription subunit 19a
Exons: 4
Source: RefSeq, a predicted model, not a curated record